GCAAAAUGGCCCUUGUUUGACGAGAGUAAUGAACGGGCACAUUGUCAUGGUGGAGAAGGACUCCCUAGUGAAGUUCUCUUGGGCAUUUUUCUGCUAACGCUUUUGGGUAACUCUCUUAAAAUGCUCUUGUAACAAGGAGAUAUUAUUUUCUUUGGCCCUCCAGAAAGUCAACAAACAAAAUGACUUGACAUCUCAGAAAACGAUUGCCAUCAUCUUUGCUCUUGGCUGGUUCACUUUUGCUUCGACUUGACUACUUCCACCUCCACAUAGCCAUUACCUUGAUUUUGCUUUGUCCUCAGAAUAUUACCGUUAAAGCCAUGUCUCAUAUCCUGUUACAAUUUUUCAAAAAUGUCUUCAGGAACUUAAUCCCACUUGUUUAAAAUUUGCAUUGAAAGCUCUGCUCUUGUUUGCGGCUGAUCUGGGCACAACAGUUUUAGCAUUUGUUGAGUGCAAAGUUUGCUCAGCUUUAAUUUUUCAGUCAAAACUGUGUAAGCUAAACCAGUUGAGAUGUCAAGGGGUUGGCUAUAAUUUCUGCUGUUAAUCAUCAGUCAUCUUCAAUUAGGGCACAAACAAGAUGAAUUUAUUCCUUGCAAAUUGAUGUGGAUGGUCUGUCUCUGUGGAUUUAAUCUUCAACAUCAUCUCAUCCCUUCUUAAGACAAGUUACUCAUCUGUAAACUGCUGAUUUCUUUGGGGCAUUGUCCUCACAAACAUUUUGUAAUGCAUCAUGAUUUCACCAUUCUUCCACCCAAGCUUCACCAUAAGUUUGAUGUUUGUUCUUGCUUCGAUUUUACCAGAAUUCACGUUGCUCCAAUAGGAGCUCUUUGCAAACUGAUGUCUACAAUAAUAGCUCCUCAAGGCAAAAGCAGAGACAGCCAACAGGGAGAUACAGCUGACAAAGCACUAUUACCGCAUCCAUUAUGGUAAUGUAUAACUCAAAUAACACAGUUUUAUAGUUCUAUAAAGAGAAAAAAAGAGAGAAUGUCUGCCAGUUGGGCUCGUGUGAAGUGGACUCCAAGGAAAUUAAUGUGCGGGAGAAAUACCGGG
This 1044-nucleotide long non-coding RNA is filed under the name Homo sapiens (human). RNAcentral describes it as "HSALNT0210036". The record is from RNAcentral. Lineage: Eukaryota; Metazoa; Chordata; Mammalia; Primates; Hominidae.